Molecule: long non-coding RNA, 3526 nt
Organism: Mytilus californianus (California mussel)
Lineage: Eukaryota; Metazoa; Mollusca; Bivalvia; Mytilida; Mytilidae
Exons: 5
Source: RefSeq, a predicted model, not a curated record
GAAAGAAGCUAAUGGUACCAUAUUACAUUUCAACUGCACCACAAGUCACAAAACGUUGGGAUGCUCAGUCGAGUUUCAUGUUAAUGAUGUUACUUACGACGAUAUAAGAUUUGUUGAUGACAAAUGCGUCCAUAAUAAUGGCAGAUGUCUAUCUAAUAUAUGCUAUUGCACCGAAAAUUGCAUGAUAUUUACAUUGAAUAUGAGUACAGCACCAAAUAAUUCUACAUUUGGUUGCGAAGCAAGAAUCUUUGUAAUCGGCACUAAAACUACAUAUUCUGUAAGAACAGCAGUCAAACAGAAUGGGGAAGAUUUUAGACUGUUUGAGAAGAUUAUAAUUCCUGUGAAUGUUGGAAAGAAUUCUGCCAGUUUGACACCAAAACAUAAUACCAAUACGUUAAAAAAAGUGAUGAUUGUUUUAGUGGUGCUGAUUGUUUUGGCUGUAUGUAUUAUUGGAUGCAUUUUAAUGGUGGUAAGGAGGACUGAAAGGAUAAGGACACAUAUCAGAAGAAUAAAACUGAAGGAAGAGAAAGAUCAUACAGAAAUUAGAGAUGAUAUUGUCCUGGCGAUAAGAAGUUCAUCAACACAAUACAGAACAACAGGUAUAGCUCAAGAUGAAGGACGACCAACUAGUAUAAUAAGUGUAAUAAGUAGCAGUUCAACGGAAACUUAAUUCCGAUCCGCCAAAAUGAAAGUUCACAUGGUAUUACAAACAGUCAGAUACACAUUUUUAACAGUUUAAUCUUAUUAAGAGAAAUACUAUUAUUGUUCAUAUGUUGUUACUUUAGAGAAAGUCAAUCAUAUUUAAUGUUGUAUGUGUGUCUUCCGCCAUCGUAGAUUGUAAAAAAGUGGAACACAACAGUUCUAGCUUUUUAAUUAGGUCCUAAAAUUGAUGCAGGAAUGCAAUUUACCAACAAGAAUUUCAAUUUGAAUCAACAAUUUCAUGUAAUCUUAAGUUUACAGUUACUCAAAAGUAGAAUAUUUUUGCUUGAUUUUAAUGUUUUUUUAUAAAUUUUGCGUAUUAAGGGAGGUAACUCAGAAAAGGUAUAGUUUGUAAAGCAAUCUUUUUCAAAAUGUUUCUAUUUUAUUUUAUAGCAUUAAAAGAUAAAACGUAAGAUGACCUCAGAUAUCUUUUCAUUUCUGAAAGUAUUUUUUGAGAGCUAUACUUCCAUAUUUUAUUUCAAAAUUAAUCAUUUAGUUUGCUUUCUAUUCACAUUAUACUGUUAUUAGUCUGUGUAAUCCAUACAAAAUGUGUUAUUUUGCACAAGCUGUAGCUUGAAGAAAGUUAGGUUAACAUGGUUACUUAUCAUUUUUAUAACAUUUUUGAACAUAUCACAAUAUAUACUACAUUUUGGCAAAGUAUAACAAUAUUCUCUUCAUUUUCGUGUAUACUUCCAUACCACCUUUAAAUAAAAAUAACACCCUAUGAACGCUUUUCUGGAUUAACCUCCAUCACGAGCGCUUAAACCAAAAAGGUUGAAACAAAUGGUGUAAAGAUUUCUGAAUAAAAUUUGGCAAAUUCCCUAAACGCCGAGCUUCGAUCACAUGUACAGGUAUGACGUUAAAAAUCCAAAUCAAGAUAUAUUCCAAAAAUUAUGCAGAAUCUCGUUGCAAUUUUUUUUUUCAAAAAUCGUAAAUUUACCUUGUUCAUAGUUAAAUUGAAAGCCAAUAGAUCUAGGACAAGUUCAAUUGUUAAAUUCUUCUCCUCUGAGUCUACAAGGCCCUUCUUUUUACAUGUUUGAAUAUCCAGGGAAAGUUACCUUACAGCAGUUCAUCAUUUAUUGAUGUUAAAUGUGCAAUGCUAACGGUAUCUUUAGCAAAAACAUUCGAUUGAACAUAGAAAUAUGAGAAAUGAAAUUUGCAACUUCUUCUCUGAAACAACUUGAUAUAUUUACCAAAACUAGCAUUUAUAAUUUAUAGUAGGGACUUUUUUAAAAUUCUCACAUGAUUUCAAACUAUUGGAAAACAUGUCUGCCUGUGACAAUCUUUAAUUCUGAUUUGCCAAUACAAAUAUAUCGUCUACACUACAACUACCAGUCGAAACAGGUGAAAUCCUCAUUUGAAGUUAAUCAGAUACAAAUAUGACAUCACUAAUUCAAAUUGAAACUGCAUGACUGGUCUAAUUUUCUUCUUUUUAUUUGAAAAGUUUGAUUUAAAGUUAACCAAACUUAGCAGAAAUAAUGUAUGGAAGGAACAGCAUUUCCCUCCGAUAAAAAAACCCAAACAUGACCAAACGGAAGAAUUAGUAAGUCUGAUAUGAAGAUAUUUUAUCCUCUCAGUUCCUAAGUAAAAUGUUUCAAAAUUCAGGAUGUCGAUGAAAACAAAGUCAUACGAAGCCAAAUUUGUGAAAACAUAUCUCCUUUUUUUAUAAUGAUCAAACAAGUAAAUAAAUCAAUAUAAGGUAUAUUUGUCAUGUGAGUGUAACAUGAUCAUUUAAACCUAUAGUUUGUAAUGUCAUUCCUUUUAUAGCUUAACAGUCCAUUUUUAUAUCUUAUAUAAGUUUAAUUGUUGAAAAUUGAAAAUAUCUAGUUAUUAGAACGUAAUUGUUAUUUUUUUAAGAUAUAUUGUAUACAUUCUGAUAAUAAUGAGUAAUUUUUAAGUAGCCCUGAUACAGUAUUUAAGAUAACGAUCUCUGUAAUUAUCUACUUGAUACCUGGAGAUAUAUUUGUUUUACAAAUUAAUUAAUUGAAUUAGUAAAUGACAGAAUAUCUCGUAUUUUUACAGCAGUACUACAUACUUUUUGUCAUUGCAAUGCUUACACCACUUAUUCUUGACCCUCAUUCAUAUCAACGUUAAAUUUUUCACUUCCAAACAAUUUAUGGGGAGCGGGAUCAAUAUACCGUUAUUUAUACACCAGACUAUACUGGUUACCGGAAUUUUGGAUACACCAAAUCAGGUACUUCAUAUUUGAGAAAUGGUAAAUAUAUGCACUCAAUUUUAAAAUUCAUUCAUACAAUUUUUUAAUUAUUUAAAAUUAUCAGUCAGUACGUGUUCUACAAGGAUCAACAGUCCUUCACCUUUCAUUUGAUAUCUUUAUACUAAAAUAUAUUAUACAAAGUUUUAGAUGUUGUUGCUUCGUGUUGAAUGCCUCAUUGGGACAUUGAGUUGAAGAAUAGCUAUAAAAACGCUGUUCCUAUGCUUUUUUGUGUGAUUUUUGCUGUGCAUGUACUGAUUUUGUGUCAUAGAUGGAUACCCAAUAUCCUUUGUUUUUUUCUAUUAGAAGCAUUAUAUGUAAACAGUAUUUUUAAAAAUAAUUUUUAUUUAGGUGAAUAUAUUUCUUAUACGUUAAAUAUACUCAAUGUUCAAGAUCUUUCUAUUUAUUUGCAUAUUCACUUCAAUAUUUUCUUAUUUUUUUUUAAUCAAUUACUUUUGAUUAUUUGUAUAUGCUGUAUGAUUCUGAUUAUUGCCGAAUACAUUUUAUACACACCGUUUCUUAAACUAUAAAUAAAAUUGUCGUUUUUCAGUGAUAGAAAAAUGAGCAGAGUGGUUAUCAAAAUUACAUUAUAUUAUUUAAAUCCUAUCAAUCUAU